RNAcentral lists this ribosomal RNA (451 nucleotides) under uncultured bacterium. Its description in RNAcentral is "bacterial SSU rRNA". It matches the Rfam family "Bacterial small subunit ribosomal RNA", at positions 354 to 796 of the family's 1533-position model. The record is from RNAcentral.
GUGGGGAAUAUUGCGCAAUGGGGGAAACCCUGACGCAGCAACGCCGCGUGAGUGAUGAAGGCCUUCGGGUCGUAAAGCUCUGUCAGGUGGAAAGAUGAAAUUGGUCCUGAACAGGGGCCAGUUUUGACGGUACCGCCAAAGGAAGCACCGGCUAACUCCGUGCCAGCAGCCGCGGUAAUACGGAGGGUGCAAGCGUUGUUCGGAAUUAUUGGGCGUAAAGCGCGUGUAGGCGGUCCUGUAAGUCAGGUGUGAAAGACCUUAGCUCAACUAAGGAACGUCACCUGAAACUAUGGGGCUUGAGUACGGGAGAGGAGAGUGGAAUUCCCGGUGUAGAGGUGAAAUUCGUAGAUAUCGGGAGGAACACCCGUGGCGAAGGCGACUCUCUGGACCGAUACUGACGCUGAGACGCGAAAGCGUGGGGAGCAAACAGGAUUAGAUACCCGGGUAGUCC